This 1512-nucleotide ribosomal RNA is filed under the name Triticum aestivum (bread wheat). Its description in RNAcentral is "partial small subunit ribosomal RNA". The record is from RNAcentral. Lineage: Eukaryota; Viridiplantae; Streptophyta; Magnoliopsida; Poales; Poaceae.
AUGAUGCAGCAGCUGCAGCCGACGCGGAUGCACUGGGCGAGGGCCGUCCCCUCCGACUUCGGCGGCCAAGCCCCCGCCCCUCGCAGCGGGCACACGGCGGUCGCCAUCGGCGGAUCCAAGGUCGUCGUCUUCGGCGGGUUCGCGGACAAGCGCUUCCUCGCCGACAUCGCCGUCUACGACGUCGAGAACAGGCUAUGGUACACGCCGGAGUGCAGCGGCAGCGGCCCGGACGGGCAGCCAGGCCCCAGCCCGAGGGCCUUCCACGUCGCCGUGGUCAUCGACUGUAACAUGUUUAUCUUCGGCGGCCGCUCUGGGGGCAAGAGGUUAGGUGACUUCUGGAUGCUCGACACCGACAUUUGGCAGUGGUCGGAGAUGACUGGCUUUGGCGAUUUGCCGUCUCCCCGGGAGUUUGCUGCCGCAUCAGCCAUAGGAAACAGAAAAAUUGUCAUGUAUGGUGGUUGGGAUGGCAAAAAGUGGCUGUCUGAUGUAUAUGUCAUGGACACAAUGUCACUUGAGUGGACAGAACUAGCAGUUACUGGAUCAGCGCCACCUCCAAGAUGCGGACAUUCUGCCACUAUGAUUGAGAAGAGACUGCUUAUAUUUGGAGGCAGAGGUGGAACUGGGCCGAUAAUGGGUGAUCUCUGGGCUUUAAAGGGUAUUACUGAAGAAGAUAAUGAGACACCAGGAUGGACGCAAUUAAAGCUGCCAGGACAAUCUCCCUCUGCACGAUGUGGUCAUUCAGUGACUUCUGGUGGACCUUAUCUCUUGCUAUUUGGUGGACAUGGAACUGGGGGUUGGCUAAGUAGAUAUGAUGUGUACUACAACGAAUGUGUUAUUUUAGACAGGGUCUCUGUUCAAUGGAAGCGCUUGCCAACAAGUAAUGAGCCACCCCCUCCUCGGGCAUAUCAUUCUAUGACUUGCAUAGGGCCUCGGUUUCUUUUAUUUGGUGGCUUUGAUGGAAAGAAUACCUUUGGCGAUUUGUGGUGGCUUGUUCCUGAAGAUGAUCCUAUUGCCAAGCGGGACUUGGUUCCUGAUGUUGGUUCAGACAGCAACCAUAGCACUGUGACUGGUGAUGCCCAACAGUCUGCAGUGAAGGAAUCAGAAUCACAAUCUGAUGAAUCUCCAAUGUUGGAGUUGGCCAAACGAUUGGGGAUUCCACUUUCUAUAGAACCUUCAGCAAGUUUUGUUGACGAAAUCAAUGAUAGAGAACUAGUGGAAUUAUCAUCUAGGCUCAUUGGUGAAUCACUUCCUACCACCGACCAGCUUGCAUGUAUUCAGGCACUUCGUGAUCAUUGGAGAAGUUCUCCAUCCAGCUCAAUACAGCUCCAGGAGCUAGGCCCUCUGCUGAGGGACUAUCAACGUAUCAUUAUCCGUCGCUUUGUGGAAAACCCAUCCCCGACAUUCCUUGAAAGGGAAGAUCACCGACUCUUCCAUUUGAAAAAUGCCUCGCAGUUGCGCAUGGAUGACAUCCCGAUCUUACUGGGCGAGUAUAGAACUCUGCUUUCCACCUGA